RNAcentral lists this ribosomal RNA (482 nucleotides) under uncultured bacterium. RNAcentral's name for it is "partial 16S ribosomal RNA". It matches the Rfam family "Bacterial small subunit ribosomal RNA", at positions 30 to 507 of the family's 1533-position model. The record is from RNAcentral.
AUUGAACGCUGGCGGCAUGCCUUACACAUGCAAGUCGAACGGUAACAGGUCUUCGGAUGCUGACGAGUGGCGAACGGGUGAGUAAUACAUCGGAACGUGCCCGAUCGUGGGGGAUAACGAGGCGAAAGCUUUGCUAAUACCGCAUACGAUCUACGGAUGAAAGCGGGGGAUCUUCGGACCUCGCGCGGACGGAGCGGCCGAUGGCAGAUUAGGUAGUUGGUGGGAUAAAAGCUUACCAAGCCGACGAUCUGUAGCUGGUCUGAGAGGAUGAUCAGCCACACUGGGACUGAGACACGGCCCAGACUCCUACGGGAGGCAGCAGUGGGGAAUUUUGGACAAUGGGCGAAAGCCUGAUCCAGCCAUGCCGCGUGCAGGAUGAAGGCCUUUGGGUUGUAAACUGCUUCUGUACGGAACGAAAAGCCUCUUUCUAAUAAAGAGGGGUCAUGACGGUACCGUAAGAAUAAGCACCGGCUAACUACGUG